RNAcentral lists this ribosomal RNA (263 nucleotides) under uncultured archaeon. RNAcentral describes it as "partial 16S ribosomal RNA". It matches the Rfam family "Archaeal small subunit ribosomal RNA", at positions 719 to 982 of the family's 1478-position model. The record is from RNAcentral.
AGUCACUGACAUUAGAUACCCGGGUAGUCCCAGCCGUAAACUAUGCGCGUUAGGUGUACUGGUGACCACGAGUCACCGGGUGCCGAAGGGAAAUCGUGAAACGCACCACCUGGGAAGUACGGUCGCAAGGCUGAAACUUAAAGGAAUUGGCGGGGAGCACCACAACAGGUGGAGCCUGCGGUUUAAUUGGAUUCAACGCCGGACAUCUCACCGGAUAAGACAGCUGAAUGAUUGUCAAUCUGAAGGUUUUACAUGACUAGCUG